RNAcentral lists this microRNA precursor (103 nucleotides) under Marmota monax (woodchuck). The record is from RNAcentral. Lineage: Eukaryota; Metazoa; Chordata; Mammalia; Rodentia; Sciuridae.
AAUAGAAUUGCUGAGUUAUAUGGUAAUUCAAUGUUUAACUUUUUGAGGAACCACCAUACUGUUUUCCACAGUGGCAGCACCACUUUAAAUUUCCACCAGUAAU